UACGGGGGGGGCAAGCGUUGGUCGGAAUUACUGGGCGUAAAGGGUCUGUAGGUGGCCAACUAAGUCAGACGUGAAAUCCCUCAGCUUAACUGGGGAACUGCGUCUGAUACUGGUUGGCUUGAGUGCAGGAGAGGAAUGCGGAAUUCCAGGUGUAGCGGUGAAAUGCGUAGAUAUCUGGAGGAACACCGGUGGCGAAGGCGGCAUUCUGGACUGCAACUGACACUGAAAGACGAAAGCCAGGGGAGCAAACGGG
This 253-nucleotide ribosomal RNA is filed under the name uncultured bacterium. RNAcentral's name for it is "partial 16S ribosomal RNA". It matches the Rfam family "Bacterial small subunit ribosomal RNA", at positions 524 to 776 of the family's 1533-position model. The record is from RNAcentral.